UAGGGAAUCUUCCGCAAUGGGCGAAAGCUUGACGGAGCAACGCCGCGUGAGUGAUGAAGGUCUUCGGAUCGUAAAACUCUGUUAUUAGGGAAGAACAAAUGUGUAAGUAACUAUGCACGUCUUGACGGUACCUAAUCAGAAAGCCACGGCUAACUACGUGCCAGCAGCCGCGGUAAUACGUAGGUGGCAAGCGUUAUCCGGAAUUAUUGGGCGUAAAGCGCGCGUAGGCGGUUUUUUAAGUCUGAUGUGAAAGCCCACGGCUCAACCGUGGAGGGUCCUUGGAAACUGGAAAACUUGAGUGCAGAAGAGGAAAGUGGAAUUCCAUGUGUAGCGGUGAAAUGCGCAGAGAUAUGGGGGAACACCAGUGGCGAAGGCGACUUUCUGGUCUGUAACUGACGCUGAUGUGCGAAAGCGUGGGGAUCAAACAGG
Molecule: ribosomal RNA, 429 nt
Filed under: Actinomycetes bacterium
Lineage: Bacteria; Bacillati; Actinomycetota; Actinomycetes
Description: Actinobacteria bacterium partial 16S ribosomal RNA
Rfam family: Bacterial small subunit ribosomal RNA
Source: RNAcentral